GAUGGUAUAAAUGGCCCGUUCUGCAGACAGGGGCUCAGUGAUCUGUAUCAGACCCGAGUGCAGCGAUCAAGAUGAUGUCACACAGCUGUUUGCUGAUCAUAUUAACCAUCUGGGUUCAUGGAUCCUGUGGACAGAUUGUGAUGACUCAGACUCCAGACUCCAUCUCUGUGUCACCAGGAGAACGCGUCACCAUGACAUGUAAAGCCAGUAGUAAUGUACACGUCUAUGUAGCCUGGUACCAACAGAAACCAGGACAACCCCCAAAGCCCCUGAUCUAUCACGCCAGCAGCAGAUACAGCGGGACCCCAGAGCGGUUCAGCGGCAGCGGGUCGGGAACUGAUUUCACUUUUACCAUCAGCGGAGCGCAAGCAGAAGAUGCAGCAGAUUAUUACUGUCAGCAGUACUAUUGGAGUAAGCCGCCAACCUUAGCUUUGCCUUAUUUUUCAUGCAGUGAUGACCAGGGAUAG
Spea bombifrons (plains spadefoot toad) is the source of this 467-nucleotide non-coding RNA. The record is from the annotation of a RefSeq genome assembly. Lineage: Eukaryota; Metazoa; Chordata; Amphibia; Anura; Pelobatidae.